UGGAAGGGGCUCCCCCUGCCCCGCAGGUGCCGCCCCGAGGAGGUGGAGGAGGAGGAGCCGGGCACUGACUGGGGACCCAGGUGAGUCUAGCAAAUGACAAGGCCCAACGGUCAAAACCGCCUCAGUAAUGCGCUCGUCCAAAGCACGCACUUAACGCUCAAUCCUGGUGUCGCGUCCCGUUGCCAGGCAACGAAAGCAAGCGCUGCAAAGACGAAGGGGAGCGCCCAAGGAUGAGGAACGUUCCAAGACACUGAGUGAUUUGCUGAAAAUCACACAUCUAGGAUGCAAAGCCAGAAUGCGAGCAGUGACCACCACACUUGACAAAUCCGUUGUUGCACACAUUUGUACUCUUCAAUCAACAAAACCUGAUGCAAAAAACAGAAAAGGGGGAGAUGUACAUGCAUUUUCCCUCACUGCAAAAAAAACACAACUUGUUUAACUACAGGUGUGUUCCUGGUGGUCUUUGAAUGAAGACAUUGACAGAAAGUAACAUAGCAUGCUGGUUAAAGACUGUUUUUAUUCGAAUCCUGGCUUUGCCAAUCAACAGCUGCAUAAAUUAAACUCUCGACCUCAGCUCCCUUAUUUGUAAAACAAGAAUAACAAAAAGACAUUUUUAUAAGGUUGGGUUGAAGGUUAAAUGAAAUAACAGAAGAUUAUCUCUUCACUAAUUUUAGCUGUAGAAAACAGAAGCCAAUCGAAAGAGCUCCCAGUCCAAAGCUGGAACAACUUGAACAACAAAAUAAAUAAUGUAGCAUUGGAUUACAAACCAACCAUAAAACAAAUAUCCAUGAGUCUAUACUGAUGUCAAUAAAUGAAUAAAUGUGGGAAAAUAGACAAAUCUCCUUUCUCAUACAGAAGGAUUCCAAAUAAUUUGUGUAGAUAUUUCACUUUUAACUUGUUCUGUGGCUACGCAUUAAGUCAGGAUUUCCUUUCUUGCAUAAGGAGGACAAGG
Molecule: long non-coding RNA, 952 nt
Filed under: Homo sapiens (human)
Lineage: Eukaryota; Metazoa; Chordata; Mammalia; Primates; Hominidae
Description: non-protein coding lnc-CLEC4D-1:4
Source: RNAcentral